Molecule: transfer RNA, 58 nt
Filed under: Rhodopsalta cruentata
Lineage: Eukaryota; Metazoa; Arthropoda; Insecta; Hemiptera; Cicadidae
Description: tRNA-Cys
Source: RNAcentral
UUAUAUUUAAUUAAUAAUAUUAAAUUGCAAAUUUGAAGUAGACCAAGAUCUAAGGCUU